This 372-nucleotide ribosomal RNA is filed under the name Boophis luciae. Its description in RNAcentral is "partial 16S ribosomal RNA". It matches the Rfam family "Bacterial large subunit ribosomal RNA", at positions 2076 to 2597 of the family's 2925-position model. The record is from RNAcentral. Lineage: Eukaryota; Metazoa; Chordata; Amphibia; Anura; Mantellidae.
AAGCGGGGAUAUAAAUAUAAGACGAGAAGACCCCAUGGAGCUUUAAACCCAACAACACCUAUCUAUUUUAUUCCCCCAUAUUUAUACGGUUAUGUUUGUUUGGUUUUAGGUUGGGGUGACCGCGGAGUAUAAAACAACCUCCACGAAGAAAAGACUAAUAAUCUUUAUCAGAGAAAGACAUUUCUAAGAAAUAAUAUAUUAACUUUAAAUGAUCCGAUAUUCGAUUAACGAAUCAAGUUACCCUGGGGAUAACAGCGCAAUCCACCUUAAGAGCCCUUAUCGACAGGUGGGUUUACGACCUCGAUGUUGGAUCAGGGUAUCACAGUGGUGCAGCAGCUACUAAUGGUUCGUUUGUUCAACGAUUAAAACCCU